AUUCAGUGAGUCCUCACGGAGUGCUCCCGACAG
Molecule: small RNA, 33 nt
Filed under: Propionibacterium australiense
Lineage: Bacteria; Bacillati; Actinomycetota; Actinomycetes; Propionibacteriales; Propionibacteriaceae
Description: CRISPR_Spacer
Source: RNAcentral